Pelobates cultripes (western spadefoot toad) is the source of this 313-nucleotide non-coding RNA. The record is from the annotation of a GenBank genome assembly. Lineage: Eukaryota; Metazoa; Chordata; Amphibia; Anura; Pelobatidae.
AAGAGAAAACUAACCCCCACAUUUGAUGGGUCAGCGCUCUGGGACAAUCAAUGUUUUAUCACGUAUGCUAAGCUAAAUCCGAGGAGCCUGAUGAAGUUCCUUAGAAAGUGGGUUUUUUUUUCUGUCCCUCUGUAAAAUAAAGGUUGAAUGAGAGCUCAGUCUCUCCCUGAAUGUCUGGGAGCUUUGUAUCUAGAGGUGAACCAGAGAUUCUGCAGAUAAAGUCAGAUCCUCAAUGUGGGUUUAGAGAAGGACCCAGGUGGGGUGGAAUCUCUUUCAUAGAAGGACUUGGAGCGUUUCUGCUUGGGAAGAGCAC